CUGGGCUCGAACGGCUCAUGACCGGUGGUGGAACCACUGCCUUUCCCGCAAGGGACUAGAGUCGAGGUGCUGCAUGGCUGUCGUCAGCUCGUGUCGUGAGAUGUUGGGUUAAGUCCCGCAACGAGCGCAACCCUUGUCCUGUGUUGCCAAGCCCGAAAGGGGGGCACUCUCAGGAGACCGCCAGCGAUAAGUUGGAGGAAGGUGGGGAUGACGUCAAGUCAUCAUGGCCUUUAUGUCCAGGGCUACACACGUGCUACAAUGGGCGGUACAAAGCGCAGCAAACCCGCGAGGGGGAGCAAAUCGCAAAAAACCGUUCUCAGUUCGGAUUGCAGGCUGCAACCCGCCUGCAUGAAGCUGGAAUCGCUAGUAAUGGCAUAUCAGAACGAUGCCGUGAAUACGUUCCCGGGCCUUGUNCACACCGCCGUCACAUCACGAAAGUGGGCUGUACUANAAGCGCGCAGGCUAACCCGCAAGGGAGGCAGCGUUCCAAGGNAUGACUCAUGAUUGGGGUGA
RNAcentral lists this ribosomal RNA (513 nucleotides) under uncultured bacterium. RNAcentral describes it as "bacterial SSU rRNA". It matches the Rfam family "Bacterial small subunit ribosomal RNA", at positions 975 to 1483 of the family's 1533-position model. The record is from RNAcentral.